Bos grunniens (domestic yak) is the source of this 4070-nucleotide long non-coding RNA. The record is from Ensembl. NCBI's taxonomy places the organism in Eukaryota, Metazoa, Chordata, Mammalia, Artiodactyla, Bovidae.
GGAGACAUUCCACUCCUACCCCGGCUGUUACUCAAGCGGGCGCCACCACCUAGGCCCCGGCAGCGCAGCCAGCCUUGCAAACAGACGGAAUCUUGCCGGCCGGACUUUUGGGUGAAGCAGCCCAGGCGGGCUGCGGCGGGCCUCGGCCUCCCUCCCCAAACUGGGCGAGGCACCGCCAGGCCCAAACCGUGUGAGCAGACGGCUGGAGACCUCCGAGCCAGGAGAACGUCCCUUCUCGCGGAGAGCAAGGCCUUCCCGCCCCGGCGCGGCCCCCGGGCCACGGGUGUGACCCUGGAGCCUAACAAAGGGCCUUCAGAGCUCCUUUCGGCCUCGGACUGGCGGGGGAGGGGUGGUCCCGCGGGGAGGGGGGCGGCGCGGCCGCCCAAGUGUACCCGCACGCCCCCUGACCCGCCGUGCCGAGUCAGCCGAGCCCGGCGCCCUCGAGGAAACCACCGAGGUAGCUUGAUCGAGGCCGCUGGGCACUCCCCAGGACCAUUCAGGGGUUCGGGCGGCUCGGCGGCCGGCGAGCCUCCCUCCCAGCCCCGCGGCCCAGCCCUGCCCCGCCCGACCCAGCGCGGGCUCCACCCGAGUGCGGUCUUCCCAAUAAAAGCUGGAAUUCCCGGCUGGGCUCAGACAAAGAGGGACCGCGGCAAAUCGACGCCGCGGGCAAACCAAACCCAAGCCUAGUUUAUGUGCACGUCUGGGGUCACAGAGGCGCCUGCUAAUCCUCCCUACCGAGCAGGCCGUCCCCGCACGGUCUCCUCCAGGAAAAGAAAAAAAAAAGCAUACCUCCCCUUGAUUUUGCCCAGAGGCCGAACUUCGCACUUUUUUCUGUUCACUAGACCCUGUGCGCCAACCUUAGCAAACAGGACUUAGAGCAGCCCAGCAUCCCUUCCUCCCCAGCCAGGAGUGUAACGCUUACUCCUAGUCUUCCUCCACCAUCCAUCCUCUCAAGGUCAAGAGCUCAAAAAUCUUUAGAAAUCCUCCAACCUGGUCAAGACAUACCUUCUCCCCACUCUGGCUUGGAAGAAACUAUAACCAAGAAGCAAUCUUAGUGACUGAGGACCAUCUACCCUUAGCUAGGCGCCUCUGCCCUCAGUUUCCUUCUAGCCAAAGACACGUUAUUUCGGUAAAUGAGUGUGUGAAUGUGGUUGUGUGGCGACAUUUCCUGCCCUGGUCGGUCUCCUGGGCAGGAAAGUCUCCAUCAGGCAUUGAGGAGUUUUUGUCAUUCAGCCUGUGUAUCUAAGCGUGGAUGUGUGCAUAUGAAUGCUUUUUGUGUUUCCAAGUGACCCUCUUCACACCUUUAAAUGGGCUUUUGUCUCUGGAACGAACUUACAGAAAUUCUGCCCCAGUUUCCAGCUCAACAAAGUCUGGGAUUUUCUCUCCUAGAAUCUCGCUCUAGGUCUCAGUAUUUGCAUAUCCAUGUUUACAUUCCUCUUGGCCAGUUCUUUAUCUCUUCUGUAUCUCUUGUUCGUGUGGGCAUCGGAGCCCAAGUGUCUUGAUUUGUCUCAGCACAUGUCAUUCAGGCACACAUCUUAAUCUGUGCAUUCCUGUCUAACAGUACACCUCCCCACGACUUACAUUCUUGCUUUGCCUAUAAUGUGGUUCAUUUUCAGACCAGACCAAUGUUGGUUUGUAGUUUAAAUGUACCUAGAGGAUUCCCCUAAGAUUACAAUCCCUAAAAGGGAGAGGAAGGGGGAAGGAGAGGAGCAUGACUAAUGAUUCAUUUUUAUAUAGAGUAACCUACCCGCCAAUUGUCCACCUCUGCAAAAGCUAGACCAAUGCCUUCAAGAGUUGUAUUAAAAUUUUAGACCAAUUCAAUGGUGAGUCCCCUGUAUGUGUCCAUACAUACAUUGCACACAUCACUGUCCAAUUCCUGUUUGGACGCUGUCUCCCUGAACAUAUCUGAUCUGAACUCUCCACAAGUUAAUGGUUAAAAGUGUCUCUACACAGACAACUCAAGAACCCUUUUGCUCUCUCCCAUGCAUACCUGCACACAUGGGCCGAGCAUUUCAGGCUUGGGUCGGCAGCAGUUUCCGUCAGAGGCCCCACCCCACUAAAGCUCUGAGCAGACCUUUCCACACCGGGCCGCUGGGAACAUUGAGAUCUAACCUCUGCAUCUCUCAAACUCACUUCCUUAAGUGAGGGGUGCCCAUUGUGUGUGUUCACAUCUCCCCCAUUAAGAAGUAUCGGGUCAAAUUAGAUCACCUAGCAGCUGCGUCUGGUUCGUCGAAGAAUCGAGCCGGAUGCACCAGGAUGUCAGCGUGCAAACACAGAACAGAAAAAGACAAACCCUGGGUCCAGACUCCCGCCCCCUCCAACCUGGAGGCUACUUUGCCUCCAGGAAUUUCUACUAGACUCCCCACCCCCACUCUUCCCUUCGCCUUUAGAGGGUUAAGAGAAAUCCUCGCAGCCUUCCCUUCACCCUUGGUCGCUGGGCCCGCAGGGUGGCUCGCUCACUCGCGGCUCACGGGAGUCUGCUGCCGCCUCCGCGGCCCGCCCCCCCUUCCGUCCUUCAGCCGGGAGGGAGCCUGCAUGCCUGUCUAGACCGAUCUAUCACAGGCACACCAACAACACCCGUGAGAGCGCCGAGACCCUGCCUGGUUCCCCUGCCCGCACGGCUUCCCGGCGGACCGAACCCUGAGCGUGACCGCACCGGCGGCGGGGUGGGGUAGGAGCCUUCGGGCGCGGGCUGCCCGAGCGCACCGCGCUGCCGCCCCGGCCCCAGCGCUCCCGCCAGCCCGGCUGCCGGACACAGUCACAGCUCUGCGCGCUGGGCAGUCCUAUUUUAUCUUGUCUAAUCCCAAACUGGGCGGGGAGCACAGGCGUCGUGCUUAGAGAACAAGAGAUAGGCGAGGGAGGCGGGGAGGAACAGCCAGGCAGCGACGCGAGCGGGAGCGAGUUAAAGACACAGUCGAGGCGAUCGAGAGCAGGAAGAAAAAGCGGGCUGCGCUGGGCCUCGGGGCUCCGCACGCAACACGCCGCCGGCGAAGUUACACUCGCCUCCCCGCCGCCCCUCGCCGCCAGUCCUUCCCCACUUCCCAGAGGCGCUCCCCGCAGCCCUGGCCGCGGGGCCCCGGCCUGUGUGGGAGGCAGAGGCCCGGCCGGCCCUGCAAAGAGCUGGAGAGAAUCGCUAAUGAGCUGUGCGGCCCAUUGAUCCGGAGAACACUUCCUAAUUAACUCUCAGUCACCUACUGGUGACAGCGCCUCAAAGGACAGCGCUGGGGCCAUCCAAGCCCCAGCCCCGACCUGCCUGCCGAGCGCCUGGCGCCCGAACCCCGCGCGCUCCCCUCACUACCUCAGGCCAAUCCCGGUGAGUGGCGCCGUCAACCCGCAUACUUAAGGCCGGCCUCGGAUUAAACCUGGACGGCAUAUUAAUCACCACCAUCUCCACCCUUCCUCCACGCGGUGAAAUCAUGGCCCAGAUAAACACGAGAACCACCACUGCAAAGCCCAGAGCAGAUAACAAAUCGGGGGUGGAGUGGGAAGGGUCGCUAUGCAAACGUAUUCUCCAAGUGUCCACGUACAGGAGUCUCGGAGGCCGACACUUAAAAUGCCUUCCACACAAGCAAUUCUGUUGGCAAACCGAAUCCAACACCUCGUAAGGAUUGAUUUCGGCCCGCGGUGUCCGUUUCCAGUGCCACAGGAAGUGUCAGAUGGCUAGAAAUACUCAAGUCUGUCUAGACCGAUCUAUCACAGGCACACCAACAACACCCGUGAGAGCGCCGAGACCCUGCCCGGGUUCCCCCUGCCCGCACGGCUUCCCGGCGGACCGAACCCUGGAGCGUGACCGCACCGGCGGCGGGGUGGGGGUAGGAGCCUUCGGGCGCGGGCUGCCCCGAGCGCACCGCGCUGCCGCCCCGGCCCCCAGCGCUCCCGCCAGCCCGGCUGCCGGGACACAGUCACAGCUCUGCGCGCUGGGCAGUCCUAUUUUUAUCUUGUCUAAUCCCAAACUGGGCGGGGAGCACAGGCGUCGUGCUUAGAGAACAAGAGAUAGGCGAGGGGCGGGGAGGAACAGCCAGGCAGCGACGCGAGCGGGAGCGAGUUAAAGACACAGUCGAGGCGAUCGA